RNAcentral lists this ribosomal RNA (481 nucleotides) under uncultured bacterium. RNAcentral describes it as "partial 16S ribosomal RNA". It matches the Rfam family "Bacterial small subunit ribosomal RNA", at positions 28 to 507 of the family's 1533-position model. The record is from RNAcentral.
GAUGAACGCUGGCGGCGUGCUUAACACAUGCCAGUCGAACGAAGCAUUUGCGACAGAUUUUUUCGGAAUGAAGUUGCUUAUGACUGAGUGGCGGACGGGUGAGUAACGCGUGGGUAACCUGCCUUGUACUGGGGGAUAGCAGCUGGAAACGGCUGGUAAUACCGCAUAAGCGCACAAUGUUGCAUGACAUGGUGUGAAAAACUCCGGUGGUAUAAGAUGGACCCGCGUCUGAUUAGCUAGUUGGUGAGAUAACAGCCCACCAAGGCGACGAUCAGUAGCCGACCUGAGAGGGUGACCGGCCACAUUGGGACUGAGACACGGCCCAGACUCCUACGGGAGGCAGCAGUGGGGAAUAUUGCACAAUGGAGGAAACUCUGAUGCAGCGACGCCGCGUGAGUGAAGAAGUAAUUCGUUAUGUAAAGCUCUAUCAGCAGGGAAGAUAGUGACGGUACCUGACUAAGAAGCGCCGGCUAAAUACGUG